UGUGGCGGACCUGGAGGCGUUGGAUACCCUUCAGCGAAAUACCCUUGGUACCCACGUGGUGGCCCCGGUGGUGGGUAUCCUUGGUACCCACGUGGUGGCCCCGGUGGUGGGUAUCCUGGAUACCCUGGAGGUGGUGGCCCCGGUGGUGGGUAUCCUGGAUACCCUGGUGGUGGUGGUGGUGGUGGUGGGUACCCUUCGUGUGGUGGUGGAGGAGGCGCUGAUGGCGAGUACCCUGGAGGCGGGUAAGGUGAUGAGUACCCUGUCAGUUCAAAAUCAAUCAGAUUCUAAAUUCAAAAUAGAAGGGGGGGAAAGAGAGUUUAAAGAGAGUUUGAUUACCUGGAGGAGGGUAGGGAUCAUGAGGGGCUCUCUGGUAACUCAUGAUUUUAUCUUUUGGGGCUCUUCAAGAUUGAAGAGAAGAUGGAUCGAUAGAUGGAUGGAUG
RNAcentral lists this long non-coding RNA (440 nucleotides) under Populus trichocarpa (black cottonwood). RNAcentral's name for it is "long non-coding RNA (PTRI_LNC003799)". The record is from RNAcentral. Lineage: Eukaryota; Viridiplantae; Streptophyta; Magnoliopsida; Malpighiales; Salicaceae.